Molecule: unclassified non-coding RNA, 311 nt
Filed under: plant metagenome
Description: partial contains small subunit ribosomal RNA, internal transcribed spacer 1, and 5.8S ribosomal RNA
Source: RNAcentral
UUUCCGUAGGCGAACCUGCGGAAGGAUCAUUACCACAACCAAAUCUCACCAUUUGGGGGGGAGAAGGGAAAAAAGGAACGCGAUUGCUGUUUCUUCUUUCCCUCUCUUUUCCGUUCCACGAAUCGCAAAGCCAAAUUAUUCUAAAGCUUCUCUGGAAGCUUUCCUCUACAACGUUCCAGUGCAAAGAAACACUUCGUGUGUUUUGCAUGAAAAACAAACAAAACAAAACCACUUGAUUCUGAAUUUCCAUUCAAAAAACAAAAGUAAAAAUGUCAACACAUUCACUUUCAGCAACGGAUGUCUUGGCUCCC